AGCCAUUGCGUCUUAGCUUGUGUCUUAAAUCUUCAUUUCCACAAAAUUCCCAAUUCUACACUUAUAUUUUAAGAUUUCAAAUUUUCAUUAAAAUUAAAAUUCAAACAUUGCAAUAAUUAAAAUAAAAUAUAAGAUUUUAAAAUUAGACAAAAAAACUAAAAGAAUUAAAAAAUAUAAUUUAAAAAAUAAAAAGAAAAAUCAAAGAAAAAUAAAAAUCAAACAUCAAAAAAGAAAGGGAAAAUGUGCAGAUUAGCCCCUGAAGUAGUAGCCUCUAUAGCGUAAAACCCC
This 288-nucleotide long non-coding RNA is filed under the name Salvia miltiorrhiza (redroot sage). Its description in RNAcentral is "long non-coding RNA (SMIL_LNC011509)". The record is from RNAcentral. Lineage: Eukaryota; Viridiplantae; Streptophyta; Magnoliopsida; Lamiales; Lamiaceae.